This is a long non-coding RNA of Dermacentor silvarum, 626 nucleotides long. RefSeq lists it as uncharacterized. The transcript has 5 exons. Lineage: Eukaryota; Metazoa; Arthropoda; Arachnida; Ixodida; Ixodidae. The record is from RefSeq and is a predicted model, not a curated record.
GGUCGCUGAUAAUCUUUUGUGAGCUUUGCAGAAAAUGAUCUCGCUGGGUGUGUUGCUUAUUUUACCGGCAAUCUGUCAAGCGUCAUCUUCGUCUUAUGGAUGGCAUCGUUGCCCGAAACCGAAUGAAUAUUAUGGCCGGUGCCGCUGGGAUAGUAUUACAGUUGAAGACCUAUGCCCUGAAGCUCCAUCUCAGUGGUGCAAUUAUCGCGCCUUUAGAAAUAAAGUAAGGACACGUCCCUGCGCCUGCUUUAGUGGAUAUUGCAGGAAUAGGAACGGGACUUGCGUGCUGUGCAAAGACUGCGACACUUGUAUAUAUAAGAAAGUGGAGCUUCCGAGGAAUGGCGCUGCAAGAUAUUUUAAUGAUACCUGUGAAAAAGCACGGUGCAACUCCAAUAGACGCGUCGUUGAAGGAUGCGAAAAUAAAAAGCCGGCACAAUACGGAAGCUGCGUUUAUGUUCGUGCAAAGGGUCAAUAUCCAACGUGUUGUAACUGGUUGCGUGUAUGUUAGUGACAUGUGAAGGCACCAUAUACAUUCUUUCGCGAGUUGCUUGCAACUGAAAUGGUGCGUCAGGUGGGAGAUCAGAAAUGCUGCGGCUAAAUACAUAAUAAAACAUUAUGUGCUGAGA